GUUUAGAAAAUUUUAUCAAACACGGUCCUUAAUCUCACUGAGGGUUCCAUCAAUGUUUGUGAAAAAGAGUAUAGUAUUAUUGUAUCUUUAUUUUUAUUCUUAUUCAUGUGCAUGUAUGUGUCCACAGGGUCCACAGGGGCCAGAAGAGAGCAUCAGAUUCCCCGGAGCUGGAGUUACAAUUGACUGCGAACUACCCAACAUGGGUUUUGGGAACCAAACUCAGGGCCUCUGGUAUGUGUUCUCAAUUGCUGAGUCAUCGCUCAGGUCCUCUGGUAGAGUAGUAUGUGUUCUCAACUGCUGAGGCAUCGCUCAGGUCCUCUGGUAGAGUAGUAUGUGUUCUCAACUGCUGAGGCAUCACUCAGGUCCUCUGGUAGAGUAGUAUGUCAUCUCAACUGCUGAGGCAUCACUCAGGUCCUCUGGUAGAGUAGUAUGUCAUCUCAACUGCUGAGGCAUCACUCAGGUCCUCUGGUAGAGUAGUAUGUGUUCUCAACUGCUGAGGCAUCACUCAGGUCCUCUGGUAGAGUAGUAUGUCAUCUCAACUGCUGAGGCAUCACUCAGGUCCUCUGGAAGAGUAGUAUGUCAUCUCAACUGCUGAGGCAUCACUCAGGUCCUCUGGAAGAGUAGUAUGUCAUCUCAACUGCUGAGGCAUCACUCAGGUCCUCUGGUAGAGUAGUAUGUGUUCUCAACUGCUGAGGCAUCACUCAGGUCCUCUGGAAGAGUAGUAUGUGUUCUCAACUGCUGAGGCAUCUCUCCAGCCUCUAGUCUUAGCAUAUCUUGUCCGUGGCUCUCACCAUAGGGAACCCAGCAAAUUGUUUAAGAAUAGGGACUCUACAGUAAACAGUGGUUUCAAGUUGAAGCUACCCAGUUACUAGCUAAAUAAUUGUGGGCCUGUUUGGGAACCUCUCUGAUAACAGGCACGUGUGAGUAAAUAUUUUUAUUCACUAAUGGAUUCUUGUGGCCUUACACGGUGUCUAUUGUACAAUAGGAACUUGGUAUAUUUUAAUAACAAAUGCAUAAUUAUUAAUACAUAGCCAGUGCUCAUUAAAUAAGAUGUUAAAACAAGUAGGCAAAAGAGUUCAUUGGUCUCAGAAUACUGGAUGCGCUUCAUAUUCAUAUGGUCUAUAUUGUUUUUUCUAACCUCUUCAUUAUGCAGGACAUUUGUCGCAGAGAAACCACAGUGCUGUGCUGGAUGUGAUGCAGCAAGAAUAAGGAUAUGUAUGCUCUGAACCUUGCCCUCAAAGACUUGAUAAUUUUCUAGUGUUAGACAACAUAAACAGCAAUAACUAUAAUUAUAGGCAGUGCUAGAAUUAUAUUAAACUGUAUAUUAAACACCUUAUAAAUUAUGCAGUGCAUAUUUUUGAAUUCAGAAGCAGGAGAUACUGCUAGAUGCAGUCACAUAAAAAUAGACACAGUAGGAUGGUAGAGACGGCAGACAGUUAAGAGCACUUGCUGCUCUUGCAGGGGACCUGGGUUCAGUCCCAGUACGCUUCUCAGAUAGCUCACAGCUACCUGUAACUCCAGUUUCAGGGAGAUCCGGUGUGCUCUGCUAGCCUCCUCAGUCACUGUACACAUGUGGUGCACAUGGAUGUACUCAGGCAACCCCACCUACAACUAAAAGAAAAAGAAACCUUUAAAAACAUAAAUAUAAUUGCAGACAGCCAAAAGCCGAUGUGGCAGCUUUUCUAAGCAAUGUCAGGAGCAGAAUACUCAUCUCUCCACCUUAAUAUGAUUGCAAUUUGUGAAGAGGGAGUGGGUGUCCAUUACUUUCCCCGUGGCUUGUCCUUAGCUCUUCUUAGCACAGCGCUGGGGGGUUGGGGAAAGCUCUCAUUUACUGCACCAGUGUGGACAGAGGGGAAGUGACCCAUUCCUCUGUCACCUCCACCUCUCUUCUGAAGCACAGCGCUCCUCUGGUUGAUGGACAGCAACGGGCCACCUGUCCGUUCCCAAUCCAAUAAAGAAAGGGAUUUGGGAGAAAAGCAAGAAGCCUUCCCGAUGGGCUUGGAAAGUAAUUGCACAGAAGAAACCUGUGUGCCUGUUUCAGGACACAUUUGCAUUUGCAAAAAUCAAGAAUUUGCAAAGGCAUAUUCCCGAGAAGACGUGUGAAACCACCCAAUUAAAAGAGGAGAUGGCGAAGACAAAAACCAAAACUGGUUAUAUAAUUUCAUUUAAUUGAAAGAGGACCAAAAAAAUACAUCAAAGCUGUAAAUCUGUGUUUCCCUGGGGUCUCGAUGGAAUGAUUCAGCUUUUUUAAGCUGUGUCCAGAGACAGCUGAAGCAGGGUGUUAGACCACUCACCCUUACACUUGUAAUUACAUACCAGUACAUGAUGUCAGGACGAGCUGAUGGUGGAGAACCCCUCGCUGUGGCUAAGCCAUGAUUCCAGGGGACCUAGAGGAAGAUAAGGCCUAUGAGGCCGAGAGAUGAGCCAACCUGGAGUCUGCCUGAGGGCCUAGCAACAGGCGAUGUCAGAGGUCCUGAUCGUGCCUAGCCAAUGAGGGGCAACCAUGCAAUGUCACUGGAUCAGGAUGCAGCCUGGGUGCUGGGAGGAGGGUAUGUAUAUAAGGCUCUUCCCAUUGCUGAAUAAAUGAGUCUGCUGUUUGCCUUUUACCUGA
Long non-coding RNA from Peromyscus californicus insignis, 2611 nucleotides. RefSeq lists it as uncharacterized. NCBI's taxonomy places the organism in Eukaryota, Metazoa, Chordata, Mammalia, Rodentia, Cricetidae. The record is from RefSeq and is a predicted model, not a curated record. The transcript is spliced from 3 exons.